Molecule: long non-coding RNA, 842 nt
Filed under: Piliocolobus tephrosceles (Ugandan red Colobus)
Lineage: Eukaryota; Metazoa; Chordata; Mammalia; Primates; Cercopithecidae
Description: lncRNA (ENSPTEG00000015284.1)
Source: RNAcentral
UUUUUUUUAAUACCUUUAAUUUGAAAGUUUUUAUUUUUAAAUACCUAUAAUAUUGAAUUUUAUUUCGCUGUACGUUAAUUAAGAUUUUAUAUAAGUUAAUAUAUGGAUAUAUCUGCAUGUAAUGUAACAUUAUUGUAAAGUGAUAUAUAUAUAUAUAUAUAUGUGUAUAUUAUCUAAUUUUUUGUAUAUAUAUACACUCAUAUUUAUAUAUAUUUUUUCUUUUUCUUUUAAAAAAAAAAAAAAAAAACAAAAAAAAAAAAAAAAAAAAAAAAUGGAAAAAGCAAUUAAAGAAAGAAUUGAGAAAUGGAAAAAAGAAAAUGUCACUGAAGGAAAGGAAGUAACAAAUGAAGAUGUUUAUGAAAAUUUGACUGAAUUAAUUUUAGAUGGUAAAAAAUUUAGUACAAUAAAAACAGAAGAUAAUACUCUGAAAAAUUUUUAUGAAGCUGAUUUUAAAGAAGAAGAUGAAGAGGAUGAGGAAUUUGUACCAAAUGACAAUGAAGAAGAAGAUGAUGAUGAUGAACUUGAUGAAGAUUUAGAAGAAGAAGAACUUGAAGAAUUAAGCAAAGUAGAUUUAGACUCUGAAUUAAAUGAAGCUGAUGGUGGAAAUAAAGAUGAUAAAACCAAUAAAAGAAAAGAAGCUCCUUUAGAUAAUGAUGCUAAUGGAACUGAUCAUAAAAAAGCAAAAAUUGACUAAACUUUUUUUUUUUUUUUUUUUUUUUUUUUUUUUUUUUUUUUUUUUUUUUUAUAAGCAAAAAGGAUACAUAUAUAUAUAUAUAUAUAUAUAUAUUUAUCCUAUUUUUUCUUUUUAAAAGGAAUAAAAUAUUUAUAUAUCAUGUACCCCA